Molecule: ribosomal RNA, 488 nt
Filed under: uncultured bacterium
Lineage: Bacteria
Description: bacterial SSU rRNA
Rfam family: Bacterial small subunit ribosomal RNA
Source: RNAcentral
AAUGAACGUUGGCGGCGUGGAUUAGGCAUGCAAGUCGUUCGUCCCCUCGGGGACGAGGCGCAAGGGUGAGUAAGGCGACGGCAACCCACCCCCCGGACGGGGACAGCCGCGGGAAACCGCGGGUAAUCCCCGGCGACGUCGGCGGGAGGCAUCUCCCACCGACCAAAGGUGCGAGUCCGCCGGGGGACGGGCCGUCGUGGUAUCAGCUCGUUGGCGGGGUAACGGCCCACCAAGGCUGCGACGCCUACCGGGCGUGCGAGCGUGGCCCGGCACACUGGGACUGAGACACUGCCCAGACACCUACGGGUGGCUGCAGUCGAGAAUCUUCGGCAAUGGGCGCAAGCCUGACCGAGCGACGCCGCGUGGAGGAUGAAGGCCUUCGGGUUGUAAACUCCUGUCGAGGGGGAACAAGGGGGCGCGAAGAGCGUCCCUUGAGUGAUCCCUGGAGGAAGCACGGGCUAAGUUCGUGCCAGCAGCCGCCGUAAUAC